UUCUGGCCAUGCCUCUGCAAAAUACUCGAGCAAAGUACUUGAGAAUAUUUGCAAAACUUUAACCUUUUGCAUCUACGGAUGAGCCCGUGCCCUUCCUUCCUUGGUAAAGAUUCCGUACCGACCGAGACGAAGGGAUCGUUCUUAUUAUACAUAAGAUGCAAGAAAUUGGCGGGAAAAAUAGAAGACAGUUUUGUGGUCCGGUGCUACUCAGGCAAAACUACAGACUAGAGAAAUUAGAAUUGGGCAGGCAGCGGGCAGGCCCUUCUUCGCGAAGGUCUUCGUCUUCGUCCGUUAGUUCGAGAAAAUUGAUAACCGAGAAAUGAAACAAAUGAGAAAUAAAAGACAGUUUGUAAAAUAGAAGACAGAGCGUGAGCUGUAAAAAAAAAUACUCGUGGACGGGGAGGGUAAGGCGUAAGGAAUAGUUUCGAGGCGAUACCCAUGUCCACGAGCGCGCAAGACGCUUCGAAAUACACGGGUCGAGCCGUCGUCGAUGCCGACGACACGGGAUACUAAUCGUUCAUUCGGCGAUCGCUGAUCAGUGAUCGGGGGCCUCCUUCGAGCCACGUCUCGGCUACACCGAUAUCCUCGUAAGAGAGCGGGAGACGGGGAAGUAGGAUAUUAUUUUCUUCAGAUACCAUUACCACGCCGAUCACGGUGGUCCUGCCUCGCAGACGAGUGGCCCCGAUACCCUCGAGAUCACUGGCUUGUAAUGCCUUCCCUUUCGUGGAUUAUUGACCAGUGAACGGUGAGCCCGGCCGCGAAACACCCAGACGCUACCUAUUCCACUUGCCGACCUGCAACGCCACCCUCUGCGACUGUCGUCACCUUACGGAAUCUUCCUCUUGUCGCAAGAACGCUCGACCGUCUUCCUCGCCAACAUUCGCCAGAAGUAUCAUUUCAUUCUUUUCACUCGAGGUUUAUCUAAGAAUGUUACCUACCGUUCCUUAUUUUCCUCGUGAGCUAUGUGUUCAGAGUCCAGAAUACAGAGUCCAGAAUACAGAGUCCAGAAUACAGAGCCUAGAAUACAGAGCCUAGAAUACAGAGUCUAGAAUACAGAGUUCAGAGUACAGAGUCCUCCAGGAUGAAGAAACGAAAGAAAAGAUCAACUCGGAAGGAAUCAGUUACUCGAAAGAUUCAUGCCCAAGUCUCCCAUAAGACCAAGUAACGGAUCGAUGUAUCCCACGGUACCGUCGCCAACCGUCAGUCACCCUCCCACAUUCGGCCCUGUGGCGAAGAAUGCCGUGGUGCGAGAGGAACUCCUCCAGGUCGCUGGAAACGUUACAGUUCCGUGGAAUUGCGCGUUACUGUCGCAAGGGAAAGGGCGGGUCCGGUUUUCUACGGGGUCCUGCGUAAAUACCGUGGGCCCAAUCGGCUGGAAGCGUAAGCCAAUACCCAGGGUGUACACUCCGCGUGGCGCGGGCUCUUCUAUGCGACUCUACCUCGUUCUCCCUUUUGCUUCUCAUCUUUACACCCUCUCUUUUUCUCUUUCUCCCUCGCUCAUUCACCGGCUCGCAACGAACGUUACUCUAACAAUCGGUACAAGGCGUACUUCCGGAACGAAAACGAGAAUGAAUUUGACGUCCAGUCGAAUUUUUUAAUGCAUAAUUCAGUGGUCAAGCGCAUCCGACUAUAGAAUAUCCACAUAAUUGGGACCUCUAACAAACAUUAGUCUAACAAUUGGUACAAGGCGUACUUCCGGAACGAGAGGAACGAAUUCGACGUCCAAUCGAAUUUUUUAACGCAUAAUUCCUGGGUCAAGCUGUCGCCUCUCACGA
Hylaeus volcanicus is the source of this 1775-nucleotide long non-coding RNA. RefSeq lists it as uncharacterized. Lineage: Eukaryota; Metazoa; Arthropoda; Insecta; Hymenoptera; Colletidae. The transcript is spliced from 4 exons. The record is from RefSeq and is a predicted model, not a curated record.